This is a non-coding RNA of Atractiella rhizophila, 79 nucleotides long. The record is from the annotation of a GenBank genome assembly. NCBI's taxonomy places the organism in Eukaryota, Fungi, Basidiomycota, Atractiellomycetes, Atractiellales, Hoehnelomycetaceae.
UCUUCGAUAGUAUAGUGGUGAGUAUACCCGCUUGUCAAACAACUCGCGGGUGACCGGGGUUCAAUUCCCCGUCGGAGAG